Molecule: transfer RNA, 75 nt
Filed under: Bacillus benzoevorans
Lineage: Bacteria; Bacillati; Bacillota; Bacilli; Caryophanales; Bacillaceae
Also listed under: 3 other names
Description: tRNA-Gly
Rfam family: tRNA
About the family: Transfer RNA (tRNA) molecules are approximately 80 nucleotides in length. Their secondary structure includes four short double-helical elements and three loops (D, anti-codon, and T loops).
Source: RNAcentral
GCGGAAGUAGUUCAGUGGUAGAACAUCACCUUGCCAAGGUGAGGGUCGCGGGUUCGAACCCCGUCUUCCGCUCCA